UGGCUCAGGACGAACGCUGGCGGCGUGCCUAACACAUGCAAGUCGAACGGUAAGGCCCCUUCGGGGGUACACGAGUGGCGAACGGGUGAGUAACACGUGAGCAACCUGCCUCUGACAUUGGAAUAACAGUUGGAAACAGCUGCUAAUACCGGAUAUGACUCUUCCUCGCAUGGGGUUGGGUGGAAAGUUCYGGCGGUCAGGGAUGGGCUCGCGGCCUAUCAGCUAGUUGGUGAGGUAAUGGCUCACCAAGGCUUCGACGGGUAGCCGGCCUGAGAGGGCGACCGGCCACACUGGGACUGAGAUACGGCCCAGACUCCUACGGGAGGCAGCAGUGGGGAAUAUUGCACAAUGGGCGAAAGCCUGAUGCAGCAACGCCGCGUGCGGGAUGACGGCCUUCGGGUUGUAAACCGCUUUCACCCAUGACG
RNAcentral lists this ribosomal RNA (425 nucleotides) under Friedmanniella sp. Its description in RNAcentral is "bacterial SSU rRNA". It matches the Rfam family "Bacterial small subunit ribosomal RNA", at positions 20 to 447 of the family's 1533-position model. Lineage: Bacteria; Bacillati; Actinomycetota; Actinomycetes; Propionibacteriales; Nocardioidaceae. The record is from RNAcentral.